UACGGAAGGCAGCAGUGGGGAAUAUUGCACAAUGGGCGCAAGCCUGAUGCAGCCAUGCCGCGUGUAUGAAGAAGGCCUUCGGGUUGUAAAGUACUUUCAGUCGUGAGGAAGGUGUUAAGGUUAAUAACCUUAGCAAUUGACGUUAGCGACAGAAGAAGCACCGGCUAACUCCGUGCCAGCAGCCGCGGUAAUACGGAGGGUGCGAGCGUUAAUCGGAAUUACUGGGCUAAAGGGCACGCAGGCGGUUAAUUAAAUUGGAUGUGAAAUCCCCGGGCUUAACCUGGGAAUGGCAUUCAAGACUGGUUAGCUAGAGUCUUGUAGAGGGGGUAGAAUUCCAUGUGUAGCGGUGAAAUGCGUAGAGAUGUGGAGGAAUACCGGUGGCGAAGGCGGCCCCUGGGACAAAGACUGACGCUCAUGUGCGAAAGCCGUGGGGAGCAAACAGGAUUAGAUACC
Molecule: ribosomal RNA, 453 nt
Filed under: uncultured bacterium
Lineage: Bacteria
Description: bacterial SSU rRNA
Rfam family: Bacterial small subunit ribosomal RNA
Source: RNAcentral